This 172-nucleotide ribosomal RNA is filed under the name Nemacheilus lactogeneus. RNAcentral's name for it is "partial 12S rRNA". Lineage: Eukaryota; Metazoa; Chordata; Actinopteri; Cypriniformes; Nemacheilidae. The record is from RNAcentral.
CACCGCGGUUAUACGAGAGGCCCUAGUUGCCAGUCGCUCGGCGUAAAGGGUGGUUAUGGAAGGCAAAAAUAAAGUCAAAAGGCCUCUUAGCAGUUUUACGCUUAUGAGCAUCCGAGGCUCAACAACGAAAGUAGCUUUAGCACGGCCCACCUGACCCCACGAAAACUGAGAG